RNAcentral lists this ribosomal RNA (253 nucleotides) under uncultured bacterium. RNAcentral describes it as "partial 16S ribosomal RNA". It matches the Rfam family "Bacterial small subunit ribosomal RNA", at positions 524 to 776 of the family's 1533-position model. The record is from RNAcentral.
GACAGAGGGGGCAAGCGUUGCUCGGAAUCACUGGGCGUAAAGGGCGCGUAGGCGGGAUGGCAAGUCGGUCGUGAAAUCCUUCGGCUCAACCGAAGAACGUCGGCCGAUACUGCCGUUCUUGAGGGAUGCAGAGGAGAUUGGAAUUCCCGGUGUAGCGGUGAAAUGCGCAGAUAUCGGGAAGAACACCCGUGGCGAAGGCGGUUCUCUGGGACGGUACUGACGCUGAGACGCGAAAGCGUGGGGAGCGAACAGG